GCUCCGUUGGUGAACCAGCGGAGGGAUCAUUACAGAGUUGCAAAACUCCAAGCCAUUGUGAACGUUACCUAUCCCGUUGCUUCGGCGGGCGGCCCGGGCCCCGCGCCCGGCGCCCCCCGGCCCCCCGUGGGCGCCCGCCGGAGGUAAACCAAACCCUUGAAUUGCAUGGCCUCUCUGAGUCUUCUGUACUGAAUAAGUCAAAACUUUCAACAACGGAUCUCUUGGUUCUG
RNAcentral lists this unclassified non-coding RNA (230 nucleotides) under plant metagenome. RNAcentral's name for it is "partial contains small subunit ribosomal RNA, internal transcribed spacer 1, and 5.8S ribosomal RNA". The record is from RNAcentral.